GAGUCAAUGUAUAGGCAUUAUUUUCCAGUAAAAAAAACCCUCAGAUUUUCACAUGGAUUUAUUCUGUAGGAAGCCAUGUGAUUGACAAUAGUGACAACGAAGUUACUCACAAGUGAAGAAUAUACUUUGUGUAUAUUUUCCUCUUGAUCUGGUUUGACCUAUACAGAGCCUCAGCUUCUGAACAGCGUAAACUCUCCCCAUCUUGCAAACCAGCCAUCCCUUGAUGUUUUCUGCCACAAGCCAUUAGUACUGUUUAUUUUUGUCCUAUAGAUGAUCUGUCCCGUGGAAAAAUGACCGAAGCUGUAAACGAACACAAUGUGAAAUUGGCAGAAGUGAAUUUAUUGUAGGAAGAGGGCUACAAAUUCUCUGGGCUUUUGAUUUGUGCUGCUUAGUAUGUACACAUGCUUUUAUCUUACUAGGGAAGUUCUAUUCAGAUUGGGGCUGUCCUGCCUGUACGGCGACUUCUCCGAUAAAGUUUCUCAACUAGUACGUUUUGUAAUUCUGUUUUCUCCUAAGAAUUCAAUGGACUUGAGUGGAACUGAAACACUGAGGUAAGCAAGGAAAUAUCACAGAGUAAAAUUCAUUGUGCUAUCCUGGAAGGAAAUGUUUCUUCCCUGAGUUGAUUAACACAUAUACCAGCUUGGUAACCCCCUUCUCUACAAAAAAAAACCCUACCUCACAAAGGCUGUGCUUCUUCAUAAGAAAUAACCUAAAAGGCCAGUAUUUAUUUGCAAAGAAAUUAUUGAGAGAAUGGCAAGGGUAGAAAGCUUUGGUUUAGGGCUUACUCUACCAAAUUCAUUAGUACUGAUACACAAGGAGAAGAGUUGUUUAGGCAGGCACUAAAGCACAAAACCCGUAGAAAUUUUGGAUGAAAUUGUUUUGUGAAUCGGUCUAUUUGUUAAUUGCUAGUCUGUUGUAAAAGAAGAAAAAACAGGCAACAUGUGGGAACUUUAGUCAGCAUUUCUGAACUGGGAAUGAUAAACACCUCUGCCUGGCUCUGGCAUUUAUCAGUACUGAGAUAUUAUUACCACAUAGAGUCACAGCAUGGUUACUGUUAUCAUCAAAAAAAAAAAAAAGAGCCAGCUAAUCUUAAUGGUUUGUAAAGCCGUUACCUGCACUGGUCUGACAUUUAUCACGAUCAUUUUACCACACGAGUCCUACAUUGCAAAGGUAUUUUAUCUGGAAGGGACAUCACUAUGAAUUAUUAUUUGCAGCUAGGUAGAAAAUUGUAUGUUGUAGAUACCUUUUCUCAUUAUAAAUCACAGUCACAUUUCACCAUUUCCCACACAAAGCUGCUGAGCCCAGGUUUUUUGCCAUAACACUUAGUCUCGCUCCCUCUUGUAGCUCCAUGAAAAUAUUGGGUACUCUUUCAUUAAAAUGGUUGAUAUUGGUGGGUUUUUUUAAAUGUUAUAUACAGGCUUGAUUUUUCUCUAGUAUAAAAGAAUUUAUUUUUCCACUUGAGAAGCUGAAGAGGAUAAACUGUUCAUUUUUUUUAUUAGAGCUUACUCUCACUUCAUUUUUUUGUGGCUGGGCUUGUCUUUACUCUUGACCUUGUUGAUGGAAUAUUUAACAGAUCAGAUGCAAGAUCUUAUGCUUCACUUGCAAUACCUAUGCAUUCGCUUUCUUUCUGUAAAUCUUUGAGUUCCACUUUCCUAGAAAUUUUCCCCUUUCAGAAUCCUAAGUAGGAAGAUUUUUUAACUUAGGGUUUUUGUUUUUUUUUUUCUUGAGGUUUUUCUCUUUACAAUCCUCAAACAGAGGGAGGAAAUCCUUAAUUGAGGGGUUGUAUAAAUCGUAGUGAAGAAGGUACCCCUGUCUUCAUGCCGUAUUAUGAAGUCUAGCAGUACAGGGUGCAAAGGAAGGAAAACACUCUGAAGAGCUGUUAAAUUCUCCAGCUGAGUCUAGAAAAUGAAGCAGACCAGUUCUGAUAAAAAGAAAUAAUAUUAUUUCUUCUUUUUAUUGUAAAAAUUGGUGAAAACCUGGGGAAAAGUUUCCCACUUGGGAAAGUUGGACUCUUUUCCCUAUGAAGAUUUCUGAAGGAAGAGUUAUAGCAAUCACAUAUAUCAAAUAAAGAAUGAGAGGAUGAUUAAUUCUUUCUGCAUUUUGGGGGCAAAAUACGGAAGAUAUAGGUGGUAAUUGCAGCAGAUCAAGGUGCUCCAAAGUGAAUCACAGAUGAUUUUCCACGUAGUAUUUAGCAUUUGAGUUACAGUCUUUAAAAAUCCUACUGACUGCCUUUAACAGAGCAAAACCGAGGAGAUGUUCUCUUGUUUAUAUUUAAAUGAAGAAUGCAUUGACAAAAAGCCCACUUAAUAUUAUAUAAGCUCUUUUGUAAAUGAGCUUUGGAUAAACAUUUGAGCACAGAAGAAAACAUGAUGUGUCUGUAACAUUAACAGUGGCUGGGUAAAAAUGAGUGAAGAAAGUAACCUUUAACACUCCUGUCCAUAAAGAAUACUUAAGCAAAUCCCAACGAAUCUUUCUUUUAAUCAUUAAUUUUAAGCGGAUGUAGAUGUUUACAACAAACCACUUUGUUUCAGAACAGGAAGUCCCGGGUUUAUCUCCAAUAACUCACGUUUGCUAGGAAGGGAUGUAUGUCUCUAACCUGACGUGUAUUCAUUAUUUUGUAAGGUACUGGAGUCUGACCCAUGACCCCCCUCAGACCUGCUGCAUUAUUCAUGUCUGACUGACUUUCUAUAGUUUUACCAUAGUGCCCGUUUCCCUUUACCAGGCAUUUCAGUGCCUUGUGUGUGUUUAAUGUUAAAUAGCAUUUAUGGCUCACAUUAAUGCCUAAUUUUAUCACGAGCCACGGUUUCUUUUUAUGCUUUCGAGCCUCACAGCUGAACUGCUGAAAAAAACAGUGAUUUAUGAUGCUGCAUAAAAUAUCAAACUAUUGAUCUGCCACCUAAUCUAUGUCUUGUUGUUGGGGUUUUUUUUGUGAGCAUGGUUUUCCCUGAUUUUCUCACAUGGCUCUUCUCACCUUGUUUUGUUUUUUUUGGAUAUGAUUUCUGCUGUGGUUAAAACGUCACACACUGUUGCUACAGCAAAAUCUGUCUGCCAAGAGUUUUUCCAACAAUUCGCGGCUGAUUCAGCUGCCGAGAGAAAGACAGGUCUCGUCUGGGGCUUUUUUUGGUUUGUUUAUUUCAUUUAUUAUUUUUUUUUUUUAUCGGAAUGGAGUGGUUUAGGUGGAUUUUCGAGUGCUAAUGAAAUUGUGAGACUUAUGGCUGUGGCUACAGCCAGCCGUAGUGUGGGCAGACGCUCUGCGAGCUUCCCCACUGUGCUGCUGUGCAAGCAUCCCCGCUGUUAUGUUUGCUAUAGUUUUAAUGUCUGUGAAAAAUUCCUGAUGCAACUAAAUUAUGUUCUGCCCUCUUGUUUGUAUAAAUAAACACCCGACUUAGCCAAUUCAUCUUGCUCUUGCCCAUUUUAGAAGCUUGCCCUGUCACACAAUGCUUAACCCCAGUCCUCGAUAGCUUUGGUGUUAUCAGAGAACGAAAACUUGUUUAAAAGAGUGCUCUGUUAACUUGAUUUUUUUUUUUCAGAGACGCCAACUGCCUGAAACUCCACUUCAUUUUCUGGAAGUCAUGCCGGCUAAUAUACACAUAUUUUUAUCUAUAAAUAGAUGGAUAAAUCAUUUCUAUCACUUUUGGUGUCAGGUUAUUUUAAUGUUUCUGUAUGCAACAUAAAAGUCCCAAUUUUAAUCACUUGCAGUACACUACGGCUAUCGUCUCAUGCAGAUAGAUUGUAAAAUAUUUUCUUGUUUUAAAAAAAAAAAAUCUAUAAGAAGCAUUCAAACUAACUAAUGUUUGCUAUAAGGAAAAUAACCAAUUUGUGAUCUGAAUUGAUUUUACUUUUUAUUCAUGCCUCAGAAACAAACGUUGCAGAAGAAAAUGAGAAUUGCGUGAAACCUCUCUAUAUGGGCAAUUGAUAAAUUCAUCGUAUGUGAUAUAAAGUGGAGUUUGCAAUGAAUAUUCAUACAACUUUUGCAAGCCAUUAGCAAGACCCAAGACAAUGAGUUUGCAACUCAGUCCCAUUUAACAAAAAUGUAUGUGGAAUUAAUGGGAAAAAACCAGCACUUAAAAAAGUUAAACUUUAAUGUAUCAAACUCCAGGUGCCAGAGUUUGAGGGAAAUAACCAAUAAUAGUCAUUUUUUACAUAUUUGAUGGGACUGAUUAUGCAAUGUGCAACUCUAAAUGGCUUAUAGCACAUUGUAGCAUGGUUCCAUCCCAUUGGCUACAGUAGGGUGCAGGCAGAUGGAUGACAGUGACAAGGAGAGAAGUGCUUUUGCUUAGCCGUGCGUUAAGAUGCCAUCCAGAAGCUCUGUGCACUGCAGACACUUCAUUAGGAUGCCAGGAUAAUGGUAAACUACCACUCAGAGUGACACCCCAUUUCCUGCUUACUGAGCUCUCCAACCUCGGCAGAUGUCAACAAUCUCACAGUGCUACAGAGCAGACCUAACUUUCCAGGCACUUUGACUCCAAUUUUUUUCCCUUAACAGUGCCAUACAUUACAUGCAAUAUGUAACAGCAAGUACCAAACAGAAAACAAAAUUUGCUGCCCUAAUUAGAACAAAGCAGCAUCUGACUUAGGUACUGCAUGCCCAGCGUACGUACAACCGGUUAGGUGGCAUAAAAGAGGAAUGAUCUUUGUCAGUCAGUUUUGGGGGUUAAUUAGACUUAGGACUUUGAUAGUUAAUGGAUAGUCUGAUCCCGACUGAAAUGACUGUGCUUCAUCGCUAACUUCUACCAAGCCUCAGAGAAAUAUGCUGAGCUCUUUCCUGGUAUUUCAUACACUAUUACAGCCUUGCGUGGGGUUUUCUGCACAGAAAGAGCAGACUUGAGCAUCUGGACGGUGUGAUAUUUUCUCUGCAAAUGCACAACUCGAGGCCGUAACGCACCUCCCCAACAGCAGUUAAAGCCAGCAGAGAGACUGCGCUACGAUACUUGACCUGCACUCCUUCCCAGAGAAACACAAAUAGUUGCUCACACUUUCAAAGAUUGUCUCCAGAUACAGAAACAGUAUCCGCGAGGUCACGAUUUCUAAUUCAAUUCAAUUUUUUUAACCUAUCGGUGAGUUAUUAUAUAUAUUUUUUUGAUAUCAAGAAUUCUGUUUAUUCUAUGUAGAGGAUUUUUCCCCACUCUUUUUUUUGGCUGAAGAGGUGAUUUAGCAGUAGUGCUCUGCCCUACCACAGCGAUGACCCUUCACUACUUAAUUUUUUUGUUCAAAGUGAUGGAAGCAUGACAAGACAUUACUGCCAGCUCCAGAAAUGCCCACUCUUCUCUCUUUCACAGCCUCCUCUUGCCCCCACCGUCCAUGCCAAGGGUGGUUUUGGUUGGCAUCCCUCUGGUCCUCACCCAUGUUGUUCAAAUUGACACGUUGGCUGAGGAUCUGGGGACGGGCAGUUAUUUGGGGCAGAGAAAAACAUGGCAGGUUAGAAGGAUGCGCAGGGCUGAGGUGGCAAAGCAUUUCUCAGAUAUCACCCUAUGUGAAUAUUAGGAUGCUGAAUAGAAACCAUUGCAGAACAACUGUAAAUUUGGGGCUGUAUCCUGUCACAUUUAUUUAGCUGUUGUCUGAUUUCCCCAGGAUAAUUCCCACCAGAGGUCUGAGAUGCACUCUGGUUUCGCUCAGUGGGAAUGGCACCCUUGGCAUUGCGGUCGAGAGGUGGGAUCGGCCCCUUGUUGGCACCCCAGGAGAGAUUCCAGGAAGGGUGAAAACUGGAGGGAUCUUUUAGAUGGUUCCUAAGAGCAUCCUUAUGGGAGCUGUGGCGGGAUGCAGUCACUUAGAUUCUGGCAGCUGAUCACAUCAGAGACUCAUGCUGUUGUAUCCAUGCUAUCCUCCAACCACACCAAGACAUGAGGAGCUUCUGGGACAUUUCAUGCGCCGUCUCAGGUGCUAUAAGACAUAUUAAAUGUCACUAGAUGCAUUGUAUUUUAGUAAAUAUAUUCUCCUGAUGCAGCUGAGCGUUCAUUUAUCUACUUAGAGAUUGUGUCUGCAAUCUUGCAAUCCAGCUUUUGCUCUCAGAGGCUGCUGCAUGGUACCCUACAUCUAAUUAUUGCACAGCCAGCAGAAGCAAUAAAAAAGGAUUUAGUCAGGUUUACUGGGGUCUCAGCGAUUAAGCUACAAAUAUACACAACGUCUUUUGCAAAUUAAAGUGAGGCACACUUCUUCCUAGAUGACAUUUCCACCAAGCAUUCUGUGACUCCUUUAGCUCCCCAUAAACACUAAUACUCUGAGCACCUGGAUCCCAUGGCAGACAACUUCUGUGCAAGCUCCUCAAAAGUUACAUUAUUCAGUGCAAAAUUUGCUAUGACCUAUUGAAGGCUGAAGCAUGAUCAUUAACCAGAUAGAUGUGACAAGUUGUGACAUCUUCUGCAAGAUGUUGUCUCAAGCCACACAGGCAGUGGAUUCUUGGGGGACCUUUCUGAAGCAGGAUUAGAUACCAAGCUCGGAGAAAACCUUUCACUUGAUAUCAGCUGUCCUGGAGUUGAAGACAACUGACCAACAUGGAGAGGACUGACAACUACUGAUAGCACUGCUAGGUUUUGUGGGUUUAAAAAACAUCUGCCAUUCUCAUGAAAGAAGAGUUUAUUGCUUUGCUAUGUUAUCAUUGUAGAUUUUGUCAGACAAGACCAGUAAAGGCGAAUAUCUCACUUCAGCAAAACUCUAAUAAUAUAUUUUUUUAUCUACCUAAAAAGUUAUAAAACUCUUUCAUGUGUCAGGUGCUAAAUAACCAUCUACAGUUUCUAUAUCAUAGGGUAACACAAUAUUAUGGAAUUGAUAGGAAAGAUUGUGAAUCCUGCUUAGCAUACACCAGAAGACCAAUAUGUAUCAAAAGAGUUGAAAAAAGUGUUAAUGGUCUACCAGAGCAAUAAUAAAAGAAAAAAAAAAUCCAGAUCUUGAAUAAAUAAAAAGUAUAUGAGCAUCCAAUGUAGAUUUUAGGUAGUGCCUAGUUCCUUAAAUUCACCAUUAUAAUUCUGAAGAAUCCUUAUUCAGCUGCCAUCUACCCCUUAAGGUGCAUAAGCUAAUUAGAUGCUGUGAUUGCGGCCUUCGAAGGGCUUUAGGUGCCUACGGCUCUACUUCUUCCCCAUGCAGAGAAAUCCUUCCUUUCUGCCAGGGCUGAAAAGCUGGAGCUCCACAGAUGGAGGAUUACUUUGCCUAAGUGUCUGGGGAGCUUUGAUCCUGUGGGGUUUGCCAGGA
Cuculus canorus (common cuckoo) is the source of this 7185-nucleotide long non-coding RNA. RefSeq lists it as uncharacterized. The transcript has 5 exons. The record is from RefSeq and is a predicted model, not a curated record. NCBI's taxonomy places the organism in Eukaryota, Metazoa, Chordata, Aves, Cuculiformes, Cuculidae.